UACAGAGGUCUCGAGCGUUAGGCGGAAUCACUGGGCUUAAAGCGUGUGUAGGCGGGUCGUUAAGUGCCUUGUGAAAUCCCAUGGCUCAACCAUGGAACUGCUGGGCAUACUGGCGAUCUUGUGCCACCUAGGGGCGAGCGGAACAGAUGGUGGAGCGGUGAAAUGCGUAGAUAUCAUCUGGAACGCCAAUGGUGAAAACAGCUCGCUGGGGGUGUGCAGACGCUGAGACACGAAAGCCAGGGGAGCGAACGGG
This 253-nucleotide ribosomal RNA is filed under the name uncultured bacterium. Its description in RNAcentral is "partial 16S ribosomal RNA". It matches the Rfam family "Bacterial small subunit ribosomal RNA", at positions 524 to 776 of the family's 1533-position model. The record is from RNAcentral.